AGUGAACGCUGGCGGCAGGCCUAACACAUGCAAGUCGAGCGGCAGCGCGGGGGCAACCCUGGCGGCGAGCGGCGGACGGGUGAGGAAUUCGUCGGAAUCUGCCUUUUUGUGGGGGAUAACGUAGGGAAACUUACGCUAAUACCGCAUACGUCCUACGGGAGAAAGUGGGGGACGGCAAGGCCUCACGCAGAAAGAGGGGCCGACGACCGAUUAGCUAGUUGGUGGGGUAAAGGCCCACCAAGGCGACGAUCGGUAGCUGGUCUGAGAGGAUGAUCAGCCACACUGGGACUGAGACACGGCCCAGACUCCUACGGGAGGCAGCAGUGGGGAAUAUUGGACAAUGGGCGCAAGCCUGAUCCAGCCAUGCCGCGUGUGUGAAGAAGGCCUUCGGGUUGUAAAGCACUUUUGUCCGGAAAGAAAUCCCUGGAGCUAAUACCUUCGGGGGAUGACGGUACCGGAAGAAUAAGCACCGGCUAACUUCGUG
Molecule: ribosomal RNA, 484 nt
Filed under: uncultured bacterium
Lineage: Bacteria
Description: partial 16S ribosomal RNA
Rfam family: Bacterial small subunit ribosomal RNA
Source: RNAcentral